GCUUAAUCGGAGAAGUGCAUCGGAAACUGGAUAACUUGAGUGCAGAAGAGGGUAGUGGAACUCCAUGUGUAGCGGUGGAAUGCGUAGAUAUAUGGAAGAACACCAGUGGCGAAGGCGGCUACCUGGUCUGCAACUGACGCUGAGACUCGAAAGCAUGGGUAGCGAACAGGAUUAGAUACCCUGGUAGCCCAUGCCGUAAACGAUGAGUGCUAGGUGUUGGAGGGUUUCCGCCCUUCAGUGCCGGAGCUAACGCAUUAAGCACUCCGCCUGGGGAGUACGACCGCAAGGUUGAAACUCAAAGGAAUUGACGGGGGCCCGCACAAGCGGUGGAGCAUGUGGUUUAAUUCGAAGCUACGCGAAAAACCUUACCAGGUCUUGACAUCUUGCGCCAACCCUAGAGAUAGGGCGUUUCCUUCGGGAACGCAAUGACAGGUGGUGCAUGGUCGUCGUCAGCUCGUGUCGUGAGAUGUUGGGUUAAGUCCCGCAACGAGCGCAACCCUUGUUACUAGUUGCCAGCAUUAAGUUGGGCACUCUAGUGAGACUGCCGGUGACAAACCGGAGGAAGGUGGGGACGACGUCAGAUCAUCAUGCCCCUUAUGACCUGGGCUACACACGUGCUACAAUGGACGGUACAACG
RNAcentral lists this ribosomal RNA (637 nucleotides) under uncultured bacterium. RNAcentral's name for it is "bacterial SSU rRNA". It matches the Rfam family "Bacterial small subunit ribosomal RNA", at positions 607 to 1244 of the family's 1533-position model. The record is from RNAcentral.